This 499-nucleotide ribosomal RNA is filed under the name uncultured bacterium. RNAcentral's name for it is "bacterial SSU rRNA". It matches the Rfam family "Bacterial small subunit ribosomal RNA", at positions 62 to 543 of the family's 1533-position model. The record is from RNAcentral.
UCGAACGCGACUGAGGCUUCGGCCUCAGUUGAGUGGCGAACGGGUGAGUAACACGUGGGUGACCUACCUUCGAGUGGGGGAUAACGUCCCGAAAGGGACGCUAAUACCGCAUAACAUCCUUCCUUUGAACAGGAGGAGAUCAAAGCCGGGGAUCGCAAGACCUGGCGCUUGAUGAGGGGCCCGCGUCCGAUUAGCUAGUUGGUGGGGUAAUGGCCUACCAAGGCAACGAUCGGUAGCCGGCCUGAGAGGGCGGACGGCCACACUGGGACUGAGACACGGCCCAGACUCCUACGGGAGGCAGCAGUGGGGAAUUGUUCGCAAUGGGCGCAAGCCUGACGACGCAACGCCGCGUGGAGGAUGAAGGUCUUCGGAUUGUAAACUCCUGUUGCCCGGGACGAACGGCUCCAACCUAAUACGUUGGAGUUUGACGGUACCGGGUGAGGAAGCCCCGGCUAACUCUGUGCCAGCAGCCGCGGUAAUACAGAGGGGGCAAGCGUUG